Molecule: ribosomal RNA, 144 nt
Filed under: Enterobius vermicularis (human pinworm)
Lineage: Eukaryota; Metazoa; Nematoda; Chromadorea; Rhabditida; Oxyuridae
Description: partial 18S ribosomal RNA
Rfam family: Eukaryotic small subunit ribosomal RNA
Source: RNAcentral
GCCCGGGACUGAGCCGUUUCGAGAAAAGCGGGGACCGCUGUUUCGAUGUUUGUAUGCUUUUCCGGUGUACGAGCGGAGAUUCUUAUGUGGCGGAAACCGCUUUUAUCGCAGUGGCUUGAACCGGGCAAAAGUCGUAACAAGGUU